Molecule: ribosomal RNA, 393 nt
Filed under: uncultured bacterium
Lineage: Bacteria
Description: partial 16S ribosomal RNA
Rfam family: Bacterial small subunit ribosomal RNA
Source: RNAcentral
AUACGGAGGAUGCGAGCGUUAUCCGGAUUUAUUGGGUUUAAAGGGUGCGUAGGCUGUGCGUUAAGUCAGGGGUGAAAUGCCGUCGCUCAACGACGGAGCUGCCCUUGAUACUGGCGUGCUGGAGUACGGAUGCCGUUGGAGGAAUGAGUGGUGUAGCGGUGAAAUGCUUAGAUAUCACUCAGAACACCGAUUGCGAAGGCAUCUGACGAAUCCGUCACUGACGCGGAGGCACGAAAGCGUGGGGAUAGAACAGGAUUAGAUACCCUGGUAUUCCACGCCGUAAACGAUGAUGACUAACCGUCGGCGAUAGACAGCCGGUGGCCAAGCGAAAGCGAUAAGUCAUUCACCUGGGGAGUACGUCGGCAACGAUGAAACUCAAAUGAAUUGACGGGG